Molecule: ribosomal RNA, 253 nt
Filed under: uncultured bacterium
Lineage: Bacteria
Description: partial 16S ribosomal RNA
Rfam family: Archaeal small subunit ribosomal RNA
Source: RNAcentral
UACCAGCACCCCGAGUGGUCGGGACGAUUAUUGGGCCUAAAGCAUCCGUAGCCGGUCCUACAAGUCUUCCGUUAAAUCCACCUGCUUAACAGAUGGGCUGCGGAAGAUACUAUAGGGCUUGGAGGCGGGAGAGGCAAGCGGUACUCAGUGGGUAGGGGUAAAAUCCUCUGAUCCAUUGAAGACCACCAGUGGCGAAGGCGGCUUGCCAGAACGCGCUCGACGGUGAGGGAUGAAAGCUGGGGGAGCAAACCGG